Molecule: transfer RNA, 66 nt
Filed under: Nematocarcinus gracilis
Lineage: Eukaryota; Metazoa; Arthropoda; Malacostraca; Decapoda; Nematocarcinidae
Description: tRNA-Ile
Source: RNAcentral
AAUAAUGUGCUUGAUAAAAAGGUCGUCUUGAUAGGACGGAAAAUGAGAGUUUCCUCUCCAUUAUUA